UAGAGCCUAAGUACCACUUAAUCAGCCCCCCCUAGACUCCUAAUCUGAAUUAUCACAGUAUAGAGUACAUGCACUAAGGUCAUCCUCUCCUUUCCUUGUUUCCUUUCACCUACCAUGGUCAAGAGAAAGGUUUUUGAAUCAAUUAUGCUUAAUCCUUUAUGUUAGUUUUAAUGCAACCCCUAGGAGUGACUUGCCCCUUUUCUCUUCUCUAUUUCUUUUUAUUUUUAUUUUUAUUUUCAGCAGCACUUAUUCUUAUCCUUGCCUGAAAAAGUCACUAACCUUUUUACGCGAUUGUGUACAUGGGUGAUACACCCCCGGUUACUCAGUUAGUCACUUGUUCAAGUGGCUACUAGCUCUGUUCAUAGUCUAGACCAUCGAAACUUAUAUGCUUGAAAAAGUUACUGACUUUUUUACGCGAUUGUGUACAUGGGUGAUACACCCCCGGUUACUUAGUCAGUUACUUCUCCAAGUGGCUAUUAGGCUCAGUUCAUAGUCUUAGACCAUUGGAACAAGUUUGUGAUU
RNAcentral lists this long non-coding RNA (522 nucleotides) under Manihot esculenta (cassava). RNAcentral's name for it is "long non-coding RNA (MESC_LNC007155)". The record is from RNAcentral. Lineage: Eukaryota; Viridiplantae; Streptophyta; Magnoliopsida; Malpighiales; Euphorbiaceae.